RNAcentral lists this transfer RNA (71 nucleotides) under Stegodyphus mimosarum. It matches the Rfam family "tRNA". From Rfam's summary of the family: Transfer RNA (tRNA) molecules are approximately 80 nucleotides in length. Lineage: Eukaryota; Metazoa; Arthropoda; Arachnida; Araneae; Eresidae. The record is from Rfam by way of RNAcentral.
GCUUUCGUGGUGUAACGGUAGCACACUCGGCGCGUAUUCGAGAGGUCCAGGUUCGAGUCCCGGCGAAGGCA